Molecule: non-coding RNA, 407 nt
Organism: Caenorhabditis elegans
Lineage: Eukaryota; Metazoa; Nematoda; Chromadorea; Rhabditida; Rhabditidae
Source: Ensembl
AAUGAAGAAUACGGUGACAUUUGUUGAUAUUCCGGCUUCCCAAUGACCAGCCUCAACAGGUAUUCCUGAUCUUCCACAUUUCGAGUAAAGAAUCCACAGCUGUAACCAAGCCGUCCACGUCCAGGAAGCCCGGGGUGCAUCUCACUCUCGUGAAGUCGAUCUUGAGUAGGCUUCAACGACACCAGCCCGCAAAAUGCUGCAGGGAUCCGAAGACUUCCCACCAGAUCGUUGCCAAUUCCAAAUACAGUACCACCGGCUGCAAGUAGAGCAGCCUCUCCACCAGACGAUCCACCAGGAGUACGAGAAAAGUCCCACGGGUUCUUGGUAGUUCCAUAGACUGGAUUAGAAGUGAUAUAGGAUAAAAGUCCCUGUGGAAGGUUUGUCAAGCAGAAAGGGAUGGCUCCUUG